CGGCCCGCGGGGUCAUUAUCUGCGGCGCGUACGCCGACCCGCCGCCGCCGCCGCCGGUGUAGUAGCGGUGGUCCGCCCUGCCGGCGGCGUAGUAGUGGUGGUCGCGCGCGGCCGCCGCGUACUUGUAGGGGCUCGGGCUCGGGUGGUAGCGGUACGCGUGCUCGGCGGCGGCGAGGCCGCCGAGCUCGUCGGCGGCGUCGACGGUGCGCAGCUCGACCACCUCCGCGUGGCCCACCUUGCGGCGCAGCUUCUCGGUGAUGCGGUUGGAGUCGACCCCGACGCCGAUCACCAGCAGCAGGUUCUUGUCCUCGCCGGCGAUCGUCA
RNAcentral lists this long non-coding RNA (324 nucleotides) under Setaria italica (foxtail millet). RNAcentral's name for it is "long non-coding RNA (SITA_LNC005289)". Lineage: Eukaryota; Viridiplantae; Streptophyta; Magnoliopsida; Poales; Poaceae. The record is from RNAcentral.